This 1799-nucleotide long non-coding RNA is filed under the name Triticum aestivum (bread wheat). RNAcentral describes it as "long non-coding RNA (TAES_LNC015843)". The record is from RNAcentral. Lineage: Eukaryota; Viridiplantae; Streptophyta; Magnoliopsida; Poales; Poaceae.
ACAUAUUGGACAACAAUGAUGAUAGGUUCACAAACAUACAUAAAUAUAUAUUCACACAGGUUCACAAGCAUAGUUUGACCAUCCAGAACACACAAGUCACAUAAAAAGGGCCACUAUUUGCUAGUCUGAACUAAUUCAAACAAUGGUCCAGAACACACAAAUCACAUAUAUGAGCACAAAGUUUCUACUCCAAAACACUUGAAGCACCAAAUGGUCCGGAACACACAAAUCACAUACAUGAGCACAAAGUUUCUACUCCAAAACACUUGAAGCACCAAAUGGUCCAGAACACACAUAAGAUUCAAGAAAUGAUUGAAGUUGGUUGGUCCAAAAUACUGCAAACAGCCAUAUGUGUUCCAUGACACUCCAAGUCCUCCUCACAUCCAAUGCUAGGUGUGGCUAAGUACCUGAAAAUAUUCCAUAUGAAUUUGUCACGAAAGUGCAAUCAUUCCAAAAGUUGUUCAAAGCUCAUAUGAAGAUUGUUAGGCUAGAGCGGCACAUGCUAGCUUAUACUUGAUUGUUCAUGUGAGAGUAACAUUGUUAUAUGACCAUGAAUACACACAAAUAUUUGUUCCUAUGCGGUGAAGUGUAGUGUUGCGGGCUUCCUUCUCCACAGGAAUCAAUCACCACAGGAAACAAUUUUCUGCUAUUUUUAUCAACAUCAUUUGAUCAACACACUUGAGUUCCUUUUGGUUUCAUGUCCCAGAAUUAUUAGCAAGAGCAUUCCCAGAAAAUCUACUUGUGCAUAUAUGCUACAGAAAUGCUUAUGACGAGUAAAACACAUUCUCAAAAAUAAUCUUGGCAUGGCAACAAACAAACUAAACUAAUACAAGGGGAAAGGAUGCAGACAGAAUUAGGAUGUGGCUAUUUUCAAGUUUGUAACAUAUUUGACCAAGAUCAAGACAUGGAUUAUCAAUAUGUUUCCGCAGAAUCAUUUCUUAAUUGAGCCUCACGACACCAUCAGAAUUACAAUAUUCUAUUCUGAAGCUCAAAAGUUCAGACUGGUGGCAAGUUAAUAAGCUAACAUGGCAGCUCUGUGAGUCUGCAACAGGUUAUAAAGGAUAAGAUGAGGCCUACAAACUUGGCAAUAAAUACCAUAAGAUAGGAUUCCUGAUCAGCAAUAUUAUCUGUUAACAACUCAUAGUAGUAGUUGUAGCUUGUUAUAUUUAAGAACAGGCAGUAGUAGUUUAUAAAGAAAUGGGCUUGUCAGAUAUUAAGAGUUGUAGGUUGUAAUAAUAUUUAAGAACUGGCAGUAGUAGAUUGUACUAAACUUUUAUAUGCUAUAGAGGAAACAUGGUUGUGCCUUAUGUAGUUAUGUUGCACUUCUUUGUACAUUGUCUUGACACAUUCAGUUUACUUGUAAUGUAUAAAUUAGAUGAAGAGAUACUACAAUAUCACGAGCCAUUGAGGAUGAAGCUGAGGUUACCAUCUAUGAUCUAUUUAAAGAGGAAAUAAAAAUCUAAAGCUUCCACAAGUAGAGGCAACUGCUGUUAGUACCCGCACCUCCUGGCACAUUAGUUGUCUUCUUGGCAUCUUUGAUCUGCAACAAGACAACAACAAUCAUUACUCUUUGGUCUAAUUCCCAAAACAACUGAAAAAUAGGCAUUCAAAAAUAGGCCUACAUGUAAUUAUUACUAGUACGAAUGCCGUGCUACAAUCUUCAACUUCAGUAUCAAAUAUGUUGUCAUCAGAGACGCCCGAGUAGUUCCGCUGCACUGAGAGCGCUCUGCUGAUGUUGCACAGCACGGCCUGCUCGUGCUGCUGCUCUUGCAUGCUCAGGCUGUCGGGCAUCCGGAAAG